GGCUCUUUCAGGCCACAGGUCGGAGCCCUGGCUUCUGUCCGCAGGCUCCGCCCCCUCCCGGCUUACGCUGUUUGCUGCGGGGCGCGGCCGGUGCCCUGGGGCCUUUCGAGGAUAUUACCUAGUGGAAACCAACACUAGCGAGAAAAAUCUUCUGUGGCUUCAUUUUCCACUAAUUGAAGAGAAAGGCGCUGGCUUUGAAAAAACAAACCAAAACCAGUUCCAGUUUCCAGAGGGGACCGUAGGCCUGCAGUAUGUGGAGUUGGGUAGCAGUUGCUAGGCAAAGGGGCUAUUGUCAUCUCUUGCAUGAUUGUAGUGAAGCACCAAGUGAUGACAAAAGGAAGUGCUUCAAAAUUCUGCUAGUGAAUAUGUGAAUUUAAUGUCCAGAAGCAGUUAUUAAGCAUUUAAUGUGCCAUCUGAACUUUAACUUCAAUAUUCCUAAUGUAUUGAUGUUUACAUCUUCAUCUCUCUUCUUAUAAUCACUUAUGUAUUCAUUUAACUCUUUAUACACUUCUGACAUAUGUUCCUUUUAUGGUAGACCAUUUUACACACAACCAUAUUAAACACUUAUUAAAAAUGACCAAACAUUGGUUAAUAUGAACA
RNAcentral lists this long non-coding RNA (600 nucleotides) under Mus pahari (shrew mouse). Its description in RNAcentral is "lncRNA (MGP_PahariEiJ_G0003731.1)". Lineage: Eukaryota; Metazoa; Chordata; Mammalia; Rodentia; Muridae. The record is from RNAcentral.